AGCAGAGAUUUCUAAGGCAGUUCACUUCCUAUGGAGGAGGCUAGGAGGCUUCCCGGCUGCCCCCUUCCAACACCCCACCCCUCCACAUCAGGAACUCUCCUCAGGAAAGAAAAAUAAACAUCGUCAUCAGCACUAUGAAGGAUUCCAGGAAGUUUGACAUCAGAGAAUUUCUCAACUCUAAAAUGCUGGAAACUCCUGCCCUUACGCUGGAGGCCAUUUGGAUGUCCCCUUGUUAGUUUUGAGUAAAUGGAAGAAUCUUUUAACACA
Molecule: long non-coding RNA, 267 nt
Organism: Rhinopithecus roxellana (golden snub-nosed monkey)
Lineage: Eukaryota; Metazoa; Chordata; Mammalia; Primates; Cercopithecidae
Exons: 2
Source: RefSeq, a predicted model, not a curated record